CAGAGGAUAGUUUAGUUUAAAAUGCCCGUUUUGGGGGCGGGAGAUGAGGCGGUAGGCCUUUCCUUUGA
Molecule: transfer RNA, 68 nt
Filed under: Bipes tridactylus
Lineage: Eukaryota; Metazoa; Chordata; Lepidosauria; Squamata; Bipedidae
Description: tRNA-Pro
Source: RNAcentral